AUAAUCCUUGUUAUUUUCUCUAUUAUGACAAUAAUAUUAUGAUUAUUAUUUGUUACUAAUAUAUUGUAUUUUUUAGAUCUUGUAGGAGGUGAAAUCUGGAGAAAGAAGUAGCAUCCAUCGACCAAAUUUUCCAACAUUGUUUUGGAGAGCGCGAGGUUCUGCAGCUCCUCCAAGUUGCACCUUUUGAUUAAUGAAGGACCACCAUCUGCACUAGGCUGGACUAAGCGGAGCACCAUCACCGCUGCCUCCAUGGCCAAGGCCGGCUCAUUGAGGGGAUAUAUUUUUGACACAAAAUCAAGAUCCUUGGAGGCUUUCAAGCCGCCUCAAUCAUUGAAGCCAGUUGCUGUUGUUAUAUCUGCCUAUGAUAAGCUUUAUCACCUUGCCGAUCCAAUAUGCUUUCCGGAGAUGCCAAAGCCAUCCUUUGAGCGAUAUGAUCCCAUCACCGACUCUUGGGAGGCACUCCCUCCUUUUCCAUUAUAUUCUGAGAAAAAUGCAGACAUGGAGAUAGUUGGCUAUGCUGUUGGUUAUGGCUGUGUAUUGGUUUCGAUCAAUUCCCCACCUCAAUUUAUGGUCUUCCACGUAGCUAGUCGAAAUGGCAUAAAGUCAAUCUCCCUAAAAACAAGAAUGAUUGUUGUUACUAUCCCUUUCGGGGGAGGGCUGUGAUUGUUGGCAGUACUAUAUAUGCCUUGUCAAUACAAUACGGGAGGGUUAUAGCAUUCUCUCUUAGGAUGGGCUAAAAGUCUAAUGGUAGUACUAGCUAUUAUCUAGAGAAACCAUCGUUGUUGCGAGGCCUGAAGAGUGGGUUUAAGGGGGACAGUACUGUCUUUCAGCAAACGGAGUAUUUGGUUCAUUUGGGGAACUUCAAAUUUUGCCUUGCCCAAACUAUCAUGGAUGACUUGACUACAGAGCGUCAACCUCUAUGGAUCACCACAUUCCAGGUUAUCAAAGGAGGAGGAGGAAGGUAUAUCAAGAAAUUACAUUCAACUGUUAGUGAUGUGAACAUAAAGUGUUUUGGUAAGGGUUUUUGUAGAUUCACGGUUGAUUUUAGCUUCACUUGGGGAGGAUUUUGAACCAAAAGAAAGAGGGAGUGUUGAUAUGAUGGAGGAGCAGCCGAAAGAAGAAACUGCGCUGAUUUCUGAUGAAAUCAUGGAGAACAGAGGUAUUUCAGUAAAUGAAGAAGAAACAAAGUCCCAAUGUGAUUCAGAAAAUGAAGAAGAAACAAAAUGUGAAGGUGAGUCAGAAAAUGAAGAAACAAAAUGCGAAGGUGAUUCAGAAAAUGAAGAAAGAGAAGACAAGGAGAAGUCUGUUAAUGGCGUUAAUGCUUGUCCAUUGGCUAAGGAAAAGAGACAAAAGAUUGAGUAUUUUUCACAGGAGCCUUAAAGCCAAGUCUGGUCACAAGAAGCGUAAAUGGAAGAAUGUUUCAUCAAGGUCCGUCUCCUAAGGUCUCUCCUCUUCUGUCCUUUUAUAAUAAACGAAAGAUAAGGUUGUUGGAAUUUUAGGGAUACUGGAAGCAGAGAUACUUCUUGCCAUCAAAGAUUUCAGUAGAUUGAAUCAUGUUAACCGCCAAUGGUGUUUUCACAAAAUUUUGGAUUCCGAUGAUCUCAUGAAAGUUCUGAGCCCUAUGACCAUCAAAUUAUAUGGAUUUUUUUUUCUGCCACCUCUGGAUUUUAUGAUAUAUAACCAGGUUAUCCCGUAAAGACAAUGCUUAUUCUUCUCUCCAUUGUUAAGUACAUUAGGGAAGAGGAUCUCCUACCAAGAUGUUUAUCUGUGUUUCUUGAUGGUGUGAUGUUUGGAUUUCAAAGACUAAAAAAAAAAAAAAAAAAGGCUGUAGUUUCCAGUCGAUGAAUUGCCACAUGAGAUGAUAGAAUGACCCAAUACAGCCUGGGUGAUA
This is a long non-coding RNA of Rosa chinensis, 1891 nucleotides long. RefSeq lists it as uncharacterized. Lineage: Eukaryota; Viridiplantae; Streptophyta; Magnoliopsida; Rosales; Rosaceae. The transcript is spliced from 4 exons. The record is from RefSeq and is a predicted model, not a curated record.